RNAcentral lists this ribosomal RNA (468 nucleotides) under uncultured bacterium. Its description in RNAcentral is "partial 16S ribosomal RNA". It matches the Rfam family "Bacterial small subunit ribosomal RNA", at positions 28 to 507 of the family's 1533-position model. The record is from RNAcentral.
GACGAACGCUGGCGGCGUGCUUAACACAUGCAAGUCGAACGGUGAUGCUCCAGCUUGCUGGAGUGGAUCAGUGGCGAACGGGUGAGUAACACGUGAGCAACCUGCCCCAGACUCUGGAAUAAGCGCUGGAAACGGCGUCUAAUACUGGAUACGAAACUGGCCCGCAUGGGCAUGGUUUGGAAAGUUUUUCGGUUUGGGAUGGGCUCGCGGCCUAUCAGCUUGUUGGUGAGGUAAUGGCUCACCAAGGCGACGACGGGUAGCCGGCCUGAGAGGGCGACCGGCCACACGGGGACUGAGACACGGCCCAGACUCCUACGGGAGGCAGCAGUGGGGAAUAUUGCACAAUGGGCGAAAGCCUGAUGCAGCGACGCCGCGUGUGGGAUGACGGCCUUCGGGUUGUAAACCUCUUUCAGCAGGGAAGAAGCGAAAGUGACGGUACCUGCAGAAGAAGCACCGGCUAACUACGUG